This 257-nucleotide ribosomal RNA is filed under the name uncultured bacterium. RNAcentral describes it as "partial small subunit ribosomal RNA". It matches the Rfam family "Bacterial small subunit ribosomal RNA", at positions 26 to 280 of the family's 1533-position model. The record is from RNAcentral.
AGGACGAACGCUGGCGGCGUGCUUAACACAUGCAAGUCGAACGGUGACCCUCGGAGCUUGCUUCGAGGUGAUCAGUGGCGAACGGGUGAGUAACACGUGAGUAACCUGCCCCAGACUCUGGGAUAACCCCGGGAAACCGGAGCUAAUACCGGAUAUGACACGGAGAGGCAUCUCUACCGUGUGGAAAGUUUUUCGGUCUGGGAUGGACUCGCGGCCUAUCAGCUUGUGGUGAGGUAAUGGCUCACCAAGGCGACGAC